UACGGAGGAUGCGAGCGUUAUCCGGAUUUAUUGGGUUUAAAGGGUGCGUAGGCGGGAUGCCAAGUCAGCGGUAAAAAUUCGGGGCUCAACCCCGUCCGGCCGUUGAAACUGGGGGUCUUGAGUGGGCGAGAAGAAGGCGGAAUGCGUGGUGUAGCGGUGAAAUGCAUAGAUAUCACGCAGAACCCCGAUUGCGAAGGCAGCCUUCCGGCGCCCUACUGACGCUGAGGCACGAAAGUGCGGGGAUCGAACAGG
RNAcentral lists this ribosomal RNA (252 nucleotides) under uncultured bacterium. RNAcentral describes it as "partial 16S ribosomal RNA". It matches the Rfam family "Bacterial small subunit ribosomal RNA", at positions 524 to 776 of the family's 1533-position model. The record is from RNAcentral.